CGAAGGAUGCAAGCGUUAUCCGGAUUCAUUGGGUUUAAAGGGAGCGUAGGUGGCCUUAUAAGUCAGUGGUGAAAUCUCUGGGCUUAACCCAGAAAUUGCCAUUGAUACUGUAGGGCUUGAGUAUAGUUGCCGUUGGCGGAAUAUGACAUGUAGUGGUGAAAUACAUAGAGAUGUCAUAGAACACCGAUUGCGAAGGCAGCUGACGAAACUAUAACUGACACUGAGGCUCGAAAGUGCGGGGAUCAAACAGGAUUAGAUACCCUGGUAGUCCGCACUGUAAACGAUGAUUACUCGCUGCUAGAGGGCAACUUUUAGUGGCUUAGCGAAAGCGAUAAGUAAUCCACCUGGGGAGUACGCCGGCAACGGUG
Molecule: ribosomal RNA, 368 nt
Filed under: uncultured organism
Description: bacterial SSU rRNA
Rfam family: Bacterial small subunit ribosomal RNA
Source: RNAcentral